This 482-nucleotide ribosomal RNA is filed under the name uncultured bacterium. Its description in RNAcentral is "partial 16S ribosomal RNA". It matches the Rfam family "Bacterial small subunit ribosomal RNA", at positions 355 to 830 of the family's 1533-position model. The record is from RNAcentral.
UAGGGAAUCUUCCACAAUGGACGAAGUCUGAUGGAGCAACGCCGCGUGAGUGAUGAAGGGUUUCGGCUCGUAAAACUCUGUUGUUGGAGAAGAACAGGUGAUAGAGUAACUGUUAUCAUCUUGACGGUAUCCAACCAGAAAGCCACGGCUAACUACGUGCCAGCAGCCGCGGUAAUACGUAGGUGGCAAGCGUUGUCCGGAUUUAUUGGGCGUAAAGCGAGCGCAGGCGGUUUUUUAGGUCUGAUGUGAAAGCCUUCGGCUUAACCGGAGAAGGGCAUCGGAAACCGGGAGACUUGAGUGCAGAAGAGGACAGUGGAACUCCAUGUGUAGCGGUGAAAUGCGUAGAUAUAUGGAAGAACACCAGUGGCGAAGGCGGCUGUCUGGUCUGUAACUGACGCUGAGGCUCGAAAGCAUGGGUAGCGAACAGGAUUAGAUACCCUGGUAGUCCAUGCCGUAAACGAUGAGUGCUAAGUGUUGGAGGG